This 5582-nucleotide long non-coding RNA is filed under the name Eutrema salsugineum. RNAcentral's name for it is "long non-coding RNA (ESAL_LNC000896)". Lineage: Eukaryota; Viridiplantae; Streptophyta; Magnoliopsida; Brassicales; Brassicaceae. The record is from RNAcentral.
UGGGAGAAAAUUUUACCCUAAUAAAAACAAUGAAAGCCACAAGUACACAGCUGAUCAGUUGUAGUACUUAGGGAUAGAAUCCACAAGGAAGAAUGAUAUUUUCUACAAAAACUUUUAAAAGAUAUUGAAGUAAAGAAGUCUAGAACUUAAUCGAAUUUAUAGGGUUUGGAUGUCACUUAAAAACGUAAAUUCUAAACUAAACAGGAAAAGGAAAAGUGCUUAACAAAAUCAAUUGGAAAAACUAAAGAAACCCUAAUUUAAAAUUUGAAUAAAAUCGGCAGGGAAUCUAAAGAAAACCUGACUUGAAAAGCUUAAGAAAAUCGGUGUAAAUCUAUUAAAACGAGGCGUUGGGUUGUCAAAGAUAUACUCUGGGAUAUGAACGAUUCAAAAUAUUGCUAAAAAGUAAUAUAAAAGUUCUUAGCUAAAACUUUUAGAACUCGUACACAAAUGUAUGACUAUGUCACUUCUAUGAAAAUAACCAACUUUCAUCCAAGACCCUAACCAGUAGCUUCCGACUCUGGCCCCAGCCACAAAUGUACGAAAUUUUGCACUAGACUCAUCUACAUUCACAACUCACCCAUAGAUAGCUUCCGACUCCUAUGGGAUUACUCUUCUCACACUAGAUCUGGCAGAUAAUGAAACUUUCGCAACACUAAGUACCUAAAUCAGAUUAUAGUUCAUGAUACUCCCAUGCAUUAAAGUAAGUUUAAAAGAAAAAAUUCUAGGAUUUCGCUUAAUAGCUCAUUCAAUCCUCAUCAAACAUAUAGAUCCCCAUAGAAAAUUCCUUAAACCCAACAAGUAAACUACUCAGACAUAAUUAAAGAAAGCAAAAACAUUGUAAUGAAAAGCUGUAUUGAAAUCGAUAUUGAAGAAGAAACAAAACAAAAAGGGUUCAAGAGAUAUAUAAGGAAAACGACCAAUUCCUACCUCAACUGUUCCAAAUGGUGCGGAUUCAUACCUGACAAAUUAACUUGCCCGAAUUCAUAUCCGAACUCCUAUAAACCAGAAAAUUCAUACAUGUACUCUUAAUGUUUUGGCGAAUAAAGAUAUUGACCUGUUUUUUGUUAGUUAACGAUCUCAUUCCGUUAACGGGCCGUAGUCACGUGGCACGUAGACUGUACUGUUGGUACUAGAGGUUAAAACGACGUCGUUUAAGUAUUUGAAAAAAAAAUUGAACAAAACAACAUCGUUUUAACAUUCAAGAACAUUUUUUUAAAUAUCAAAACGACGUCGUUUAAAUUAAUAAGAACAAAAAAAUAUAGCAAUACAACGUCAUUUUAAUUAAUGAGAACCAGAAAAAAUGAUAACACGAUGUCGUUUUGAAAAAACUUGAGAAAUAAAAAUUUAGCUUCUCCGAAGGAUUCUUUCGUCGAUUUGAGAAAAAAGAGCCCGAAAUAAGGUUUGAGAUUCAUAGAAAAUCAGAGUAUAAAUUCUUGAUAUCGAUGGAAAUAGAAGAAAGAUAAGCCGAUUUUGACUUAUAGGUUUUGAUUUUUUUAAUUGUUCUUUAGUAAUAGUUGAAUCCUAAAGGAAUUGUUUAAUGGAUGCAGUGAUAUAACAGAUUGCUUCUUACUCAUAAACCAUGGGGGGAAGUUUGAGAAAUUUUCAACCGGCAUUCUCCAUUACGCAGGUGGCUGUUCUUCUCUAGUUUUGAGAUAGAGCUCGGGGAAGAAAAAGAUUUAGUUCUUUAUAUUUUUUUGUAAAAAAACACGAUGUUGUUUUGUUUUUUUUUUCUUAGUAAAUGUUAAAACGACGUCGUUUUAACUUCUGGUGCCAACAGUGCAGUCUACAUGGCACGAGACUAUGGUCCAUUAAUAGAAUGAGAUCGUUGACUAACGUGAAAUAGGUCAAUAUCUUUAUUCGCCAAAAAAUUAUUAGUACAUGUAUGAAUUGUCCGGUUUUUAAGAGUUUAGGUAUGAAUUCGGGUAAGUAAAUUUGUCAGAUAUGAAUCCGCACCAUUUGGAACAGUUGAGGCAGGAAUUGAUCAUUUUCCCAAGAUAUAUCUUUAUCUCCCUAAACCUAAAAAACAAUAUAAAGUAUUCUAAAACUCUAAAAAAUCUCUUAGCAUAGCCUAACACCAACACACGGUUUAGGGUUUCUAAAACAUGUAUUUAUAUGUCUCCAAGUCAUACUUGGACGUCAUUUAGGGCUUUUUCAAAGAAAAAAAUCGAUUGGGCUUGACAUUGAGCUUCUUGGGUUUGAACUUUGAUUCUCCGUGGUCAGGAGGUCUCUGACCGUGGGAAACCAAGUGUUGGUCGUGGUCAACAAGGCUGGACUCUUUUAUCCUCUUACCACUAUUUGUUGAUCCUGAAUGGCUAGUUCAUCUUUAACUGGUUCCCCACCUUACCCAACCACUUUCAAAUGACAUGCACUCUUGUUUUUCAUUGUCCUAUAUGCAGAUAUGUGCAAAAACUUCGGAGAGAAAGAGGAACAACGCAGUUUUCGGUCACUGAAGACGGAGACCUGCGAUUUCUGGAAUGAUUCAACAAAGGAAGAAAGCUUGGUUUGCCUAAAAAAAAACUUCAAAACUUUGGUAUAUUUUCGUCCCUUAGACUCUCUCUCUCUCUCUCUAAAAGUGUUUCCCCUUUAAAAAAAAGGAGAAAUAAAAACCUUAGUGAGUCUAAGAGGAUCGAUGAGGCAAGCUUUGGUUCAAUUAUUUGAAUUUUGGGAGAUUAUCUUAUUGAUUCCCGGAAAAUAUCUCAGUCUGGGGGAAGUAGCAGUUUACAGAAAAGGAGAAAGGAUUAUGCAACAACACCUGGCAAGGAGAAGUGACUGAAAUUGUUGACAUUAACAAGUCCAUUCUCUCUUGUGGUUUCGCAUAAUAUCUAACAGCCUCCAGAUCUUCAGGUAAUCUUAAACAUUUUAACUUCACCACCUAACUACCCCUUAAUACCAAAAGCCAUCUACCUGAAUGAUGUCUUUGAUGCGAAGUUCACGCCAUACACUUAAUGAAUGUAGAGAGCUAACUGACUGGAAUCGAGAUUUAGAUUGUUUAGAUUUUGCAUGACGGAAACCGUGGACUAGUAUCUUUUGUGUCUUAGUGAGAAUUAUCUAGACUAGGUUGUGAUUUGAUGUACAAUCGAUGGUCGUUGUUUAGAGGUUCAUGUCUCUGAAAUUUAUGCAUUUCCUAUUUUUGUUUUCACUUUUCUUUACUUUGAUUGUUGCUUUGUUUGAGGACAAACAAAUGUUUAAGUCUAGGGGAGUUGAUAACACCGUAUUCUGACUACUUUUAUGGAUCGUUUUUAAAUGCUUUUCAAAUGUUUUUUUUUGAAGUGUUUUUAUUAUGGGUUUCUAGUAUUUGUAGCGUCAAGACUAUUUUUUAGGAAACUUAGACAAAAGCUUUGUAAAUUGGAUAGAAGACCAUAUUUUCAGCGUAGAGUCAAACUGUCAGAAGUUCACAGAUAAAUGAAGACCUUCUCACUGUCUGAUCCAACACAAAUUUGGAGACCUUAAAGAUGGAACAUCUAUCUUUCCAGCACACUCGACAUAAGAACAAUCCAACAGUUCAAUUAAAAGUUAUGCAAAGAUCAAGAUGUCCAGUCAAGAUGGAGGCUAGCUUCCCAGACUGCAGCCAGCACAUGUUUUACCAUGGUCAGAGAGCUCCUGACCGUGGAGAGUUAACGUUCAGACCCAAGAAGCCCAAUUUCAAGCCCAUUUGAUUCAUAUCUUUGAGGAAGCCCUAAGUGACCUCAAGGCUUGACUUGAAGACAUAUAAAUCCUUGUUUUAAGAACCCUAAACCGUGUGCUAUGUUAUUUUAAAUGUUAGGAGUUCUUAGCUUUUCAUAUUUUUAUUUUGUUUUAGGUUUAGGGAGAUAGAGAUAUCUCUUAAACCCUUUUUAAUUCUUCUUCAAUAUCGAUUUUUUUACAGCUUUUCAAUACAUUUUUUUUGCUUUCAUUAGUCAUGUCGCAGUAGUUUACUUGUUGGGUUUAAAGGAACUUUUGAUGGGUAUCUAUAUGUUUUAUGACGAUUGCAUGAGCUAUUAAGCCGAAUCCUAAAACUUUUUCUUCUAAACAUACUUCUUAUGCAUAAGAGUAGCGUCAUGAACUAUAAUCUGAUUUAUGUACUUAGUUGUGAGAGUUUUCAUUAUCUGCCAGAUCUAGUUUGAGAAGAGAAAUUCUGCCAUAGGAGACAAAAGCUACCUAUGGGUGAGUUGUGAAUGUAGAUGAGUCUAGUGCAAGAUUUCAUAUAUCUGUGGUUGGGGCCAGAGUCGGAACCUACUGGUCAGUGUCGUGGAUGGCAGUUGGUUAUGAUCACAAGAGUGACGUAGUCAUGCAUCCAUGCUCGAGCUCUAAGAGUUUUAGCUAGGAUCUUUUAUAUUACUUUUUAGCAAUGUUUUGAAUCGUUCAUACCCCGGAGAUAUUCCCUAACAACCCAGCGCCUCGUUUUAUAAGUUUUACACCGAUUUUUCUCAAGUUUUUUACAUUAGGUUUUCUUUAGUUUUUCAAUCGUUUUUCUUAAGCAAUUUUUCUUUUUCCUGUUUAGUUCAGGAUUUACGUUUUUAGUGACACCAAAACCCUAUAAAAAUCGCUUAAAUUUUAGACUUCCUUACAAAAUCUCUUUCAAAAGUUUUUGCAGAAAAGAUCCUCAUUCCCUGUGGAUUCGUUCCUAAGUACUUCGACUGAUUAGUUGUGCACUUGCAGCUGUCGUUGUUUCAAUUAGGGUAAAACUUGUUCCCCACACCACACACACAUCAACCACUUGGACCUACUUUUUCUAAUCCUCGGACUCAUCAUCAUCGAACUCACAUGAAAAAUAAGAGAGAGGUGAGUAAUUGGAGAAUCACACAGUGAGAAAUAAACUUACACCAUCACCACAUCUAUCCAUCAUUCCCAACAUGUCAAGCUAAAUGUAAACAAGAAAAAAAACAGUACUCUACAAGCACACAAACAAUUCACAAACACGGGAAACCCACCGAGCCCGAAGCUCAUAUCACAUUUCAUUUCAUUUUCUUAUUUAAUCACAUAGACAGGCUCGUAGUUCGCCAUAACCACCUGAUGAUGAGAACCAACCUGCACUUCAAGUUUGAUCCCCAGCAUACAAUAUCCGUACCACCGUGUCCCUUCAAAGUGAUGAUCACCUAUCUCGAACUAACUAAAUUACAAUCACUAAUCACGCAACGAGUGAUCAAUCAUUCAUGCUGGUUUUUUCGCUAAUGUUUCCUUAUUCUGAAUUCAAUCAAUUCAUGGAUAUAACUUAAUGUAUAAACCAAAACGUUUCCAUACUCCGUAACACGAAGCAACCUGAAUAGAUCUAGACUCGACACACUAAAAACAAUGUAUAAACGCAGAAAUAAGCCUAGAUCUACUCCUCACCUUGACCAUUGUGCAGAUAUGGAUCAAAGCGGACGAGUAACAAAGGUAUCGAGCAAAAAAUAAGAAAGCUGUCGGUGACUUUUUCUCUUUCCGGCGGUGGUGACGCAGCGCACAGCAGUGGCGGUGGCGACGGCAGUGGACAGCAGCGGCUGGUCAAACUGCGGCUGGCGGCAGCGACUGGUCGGUGAUAGAAGCUCUCUCAUGUCUCAGAAAUCUCUCUCUCUCUCUCUCUCUCUCUCUCUCUCUCUCUCUGGGUGGCUGCAAAUGAGAAU